CACAUUUCAUGUUUUAUUAUUUUUUUUAAACUCAACUCUUCCCAGAACACUUUAUAAUAAAGAUAACAUGUAAUAUACUAUAUACAUCUCUUUAAAAUAGUCAAGUACCCUAAUGCCCUUAAAACAGGGUCUGGUAAGCCAGUAAGGUCAAUUAUAGUUGACAAAAUCCACUCAGCAUGGGGCAUGCCAUGUCACAGCACCCAGUACAACGUUGGGACUGUUCACAGGUUAUCCUUCAUUAGGAAAGAAAAAUUAGAACUUUUGUGUUCUAGUUGUUUUUACUUCCACCUAAAUAAGUGCUUAUGCAUGUUGUCUUGACAGAUAUUUUUGGAAUUUAAAAAUUGGGGAUC
RNAcentral lists this long non-coding RNA (350 nucleotides) under Bos taurus (domestic cattle). Its description in RNAcentral is "long non-coding RNA NONBTAT022282". Lineage: Eukaryota; Metazoa; Chordata; Mammalia; Artiodactyla; Bovidae. The record is from RNAcentral.